This 492-nucleotide ribosomal RNA is filed under the name uncultured bacterium. RNAcentral's name for it is "partial 16S ribosomal RNA". It matches the Rfam family "Bacterial small subunit ribosomal RNA", at positions 29 to 507 of the family's 1533-position model. The record is from RNAcentral.
AGUGAACGCUGGCGGUAGGCCUAACACAUGCAAGUCGAACGGCAGCACAGUAAGAGCUUGCUCUUACGGGUGGCGAGUGGCGGACGGGUGAGGAAUACAUCGGAAUCUACUUUUUCGUGGGGGUUAACGUAGGGAAACUUACGCUAAUACCGCAUACGACCUACGGGUGAAAGCAGGGGAUCUUCUGACCUUGCGCGAUUGAAUGAGCCGAUGUCGGAUUAGCUAGUUGGCGGGGUAAAGGCCCACCAAGGCGACGAUCCGUAGCUGGUCUGAGAGGAUGAUAGGCCACACUGGAACUGAGACACGGUCCAGACUCCUACGGGAGGCAGCAGUGGGGAAUAUUGGACAAUGGGCGCAAGCCUGAUCCAGCCAUACCGCGUGGGUGAAGAAGGCCUUCGGGUUGUAAAGCCCUUUUGUUGGGAAAGAAAAGCAGCAGGUUAAUACCCCGCUGUUCUGACGGUACCCAAAGAAUAAGCACCGGCUAACUUCGUG